UUAAGCGACUAAGCGUACACGGUGGAUGCCCUGGCAGUCAGAGGCGAUGAAGGACGUGCUAAUCUGCGAAAAGCGUCGGUAAGGUGAUAUGAACCGUUAUAGCCGGCGAUGUCCGAAUGGGGAAACCCAGUGUGAUUCGUCACACUAUCGUUAACUGAAUACAUAGGUUAACGAGGCGAACCGGGGGAACUGAAACAUCUAAGUACCCCGAGGAAAAGAAAUCAACCGAGAUUCCCCCAGUAGCGGCGAGCGAACGGGGAGCAGCCCAGAGUCUGAAUCAGCUUGUGUGUUAGUGGAACGGUCUGGAAAGUCCGACGGUACAGGGUGAUAGUCCCGUACACCAAAAUGCACAGGCUGUGAACUCGAAGAGUAGGGCGGGACACGUGGUAUCCUGUCUGAAUAUGGGGGGACCAUCCUCCAAGGCUAAAUACUCCUGACUGACCGAUAGUGAACCAGUACCGUGAGGGAAAGGCGAAAAGAACCCCGGCGAGGGGAGUGAAAAAGAACCUGAAACCGUGUACGUACAAGCAGUGGGAGCACCUUCGGGUGUGACUGCGUACCUUUUGUAUAAUGGGUCAGCGACUUAUAUUCUGUAGCAAGGUUAACCGUAUAGGGGAGCCGCAGGGAAACCGAGUCUUAACUGGGCGUUAAGUUGCAGGGUAUAGACCCGAAACCCGGUGAUCUAGCCAUGGGCAGGUUGAAGGUUGGGUAACACUAACUGGAGGACCGAACCGACUAAUGUUGAAAAAUUAGCGGAUGACUUGUGGCUGGGGGUGAAAGGCCAAUCAAACCGGGAGAUAGCUGGUUCUCCCCGAAAGCUAUUUAGGUAGCGCCUCGUGAAUUCAUCUUCGGGGGUAGAGCACUGUUUCGGCUAGGGGGUCAUCCCGACUUACCAACCCGAUGCAAACUACGAAUACCGAAGAAUGUUAUCACGGGAGACACACGGCGGGUGCUAACGUCCGUCGUGAAGAGGGAAACAACCCAGACCGCCAGCUAAGGUCCCAAAGUCAUGGUUAAGUGGGAAACGAUGUGGGAAGGCACAGACAGCCAGGAUGUUGGCUUAGAAGCAGCCAUCAUUUAAAGAAAGCGUAAUAGCUCACUGGUCGAGUCGGCCUGCGCGGAAGAUGUAACGGGGCUAAACCAUGCACCGAAGCUGCGGCAGCGACACUAUGUGUUGUUGGGUAGGGGAGCGUUCUGUAAGCCUGCGAAGGUGACCUGUGAGGGUUGCUGGAGGUAUCAGAAGUGCGAAUGCUGACAUAAGUAACGAUAAAGCGGGUGAAAAGCCCGCUCGCCGGAAGACCAAGGGUUCCUGUCCAACGUUAAUCGGGGCAGGGUGAGUCGACCCCUAAGGCGAGGCCGAAAGGCGUAGUCGAUGGGAAACAGGUUAAUAUUCCUGUACUUGGUGUUACUGCGAAGGGGGGACGGAGAAGGCUAUGUUAGCCGGGCGACGGUUGUCCCGGUUUAAGCAUGUAGGCUGAUUGUCCAGGCAAAUCCGGAUAAUCAAGGCUGAGGUGUGAUGACGAGGCACUACGGUGCUGAAGUAACAAAUGCCCUGCUUCCAGGAAAAGCCUCUAAGCAUCAGGUAACAUUAAAUCGUACCCCAAACCGACACAGGUGGUCAGGUAGAGAAUACCAAGGCGCUUGAGAGAACUCGGGUGAAGGAACUAGGCAAAAUGGUGCCGUAACUUCGGGAGAAGGCACGCUGGUGUGUAGGUGAAGUCCCUGCGGAUGGAGCUGAGACCAGUCGAAGAUACCAGCUGGCUGCAACUGUUUAUUAAAAACACAGCACUGUGCAAACACGAAAGUGGACGUAUACGGUGUGACGCCUGCCCGGUGCCGGAAGGUUAAUUGAUGGGGUUAUCCGUAAGGAGAAGCUCUUGAUCGAAGCCCCGGUAAACGGCGGCCGUAACUAUAACGGUCCUAAGGUAGCGAAAUUCCUUGUCGGGUAAGUUCCGACCUGCACGAAUGGCGUAAUGAUGGCCAGGCUGUCUCCACCCGAGACUCAGUGAAAUUGAACUCGCUGUGAAGAUGCAGUGUACCCGCGGCAAGACGGAAAGACCCCGUGAACCUUUACUAUAGCUUGACACUGAACAUUGAGCCUUGAUGUGUAGGAUAGGUGGGAGGCUUUGAAGCGUGGACGCCAGUCUGCGUGGAGCCAACCUUGAAAUACCACCCUUUAAUGUUUGAUGUUCUAACGUUGGCCCCUGACCGGGGUUGCGGACAGUGUCUGGUGGGUAGUUUGACUGGGGCGGUCUCCUCCCAAAGCGUAACGGAGGAGCACGAAGGUUAGCUAAUCCUGGUCGGACAUCAGGAGGUUAGUGCAAUGGCAUAAGCUAGCUUGACUGCGAGCGUGACGGCGCGAGCAGGUGCGAAAGCAGGUCAUAGUGAUCCGGUGGUUCUGAAUGGAAGGGCCAUCGCUCAACGGAUAAAAGGUACUCCGGGGAUAACAGGCUGAUACCGCCCAAGAGUUCAUAUCGACGGCGGUGUUUGGCACCUCGAUGUCGGCUCAUCACAUCCUGGGGCUGAAGUAGGUCCCAAGGGUAUGGCUGUUCGCCAUUUAAAGUGGUACGCGAGCUGGGUUUAGAACGUCGUGAGACAGUUCGGUCCCUAUCUGCCGUGGGCGCUGGAGAAUUGAGGGGGGCUGCUCCUAGUACGAGAGGACCGGAGUGGACGCAUCACUGGUGUUCGGGUUGUCAUGCCAAUGGCACUGCCCGGUAGCUAAAUGCGGAAGAGAUAAGUGCUGAAAGCAUCUAAGCACGAAACUUGCCCCGAGAUGAGUUCUCCCUGAGACUUUAAGUCUCCUGAAGGAACGUUAAAGACGAUGACGUUGAUAGGCCGGGUGUGUAAGCGCAGCGAUGCGUUGAGCUAACCGGUACUAAUGAACCGUGAGGCUUAACCU
Molecule: ribosomal RNA, 2899 nt
Filed under: Klebsiella pneumoniae
Lineage: Bacteria; Pseudomonadati; Pseudomonadota; Gammaproteobacteria; Enterobacterales; Enterobacteriaceae
Description: bacterial LSU rRNA
Rfam family: Bacterial large subunit ribosomal RNA
Source: RNAcentral